Acanthochromis polyacanthus (spiny chromis) is the source of this 602-nucleotide long non-coding RNA. RefSeq lists it as uncharacterized. NCBI's taxonomy places the organism in Eukaryota, Metazoa, Chordata, Actinopteri, Pomacentridae. The record is from RefSeq and is a predicted model, not a curated record. The transcript has 3 exons.
UUUCAUUGAAAUCACAAAACAUAAUUUUCCUGUGAUGUUUAACUCAGUUUCUCCUAAUUGUAUCUUGAAUGUAACCAUUUUGAUAUUCUUCUGUUGUAAUCCUCAUUUACAGACAACCCCACAGCUGCCAUUAUUAAUUCUCUGUGCCUCCCCAUUGCCAACAUAUUGGUUGUGGUGUUUAUGGUGAUCUAUGAGAACUACAUGAAGAAGCGCAGAGAGUCCAGAAGUGGUGUGAAUGACGACAUGAUGCUUGAAUCAACAGCAAUCUACAUGAAUACACGACCUCCUGGACGGCGUCAUAAAGCAGCUCGCUGAUGAAGGAAGGCCUGAUGGAGCUUCACAUCAAAUCACCAUUUACUCUCUAUAAGUUUUCAAGUUAUUCAGCUUGCAGUAGAUAUUUUAUCACAUUUUAGAGGCUAUUUUUAAAGUUUUAUUAUUGCUAUUAGCCAAGAGCUCCAAUAUUGUACUCCAUUGAAAUAUUGUUUAACAAAGUAAAUUCUGUGGUAUCUUCAUCCAUUUGUUGUAUUUUGGAAUUUCAGUGAUUCUGAUGCUUUGGUGUGCAUAUUUUACCAUGUUAGAAAGUGUCACUUUUCUUGCUGAUG